Molecule: ribosomal RNA, 433 nt
Filed under: uncultured bacterium
Lineage: Bacteria
Description: partial 16S ribosomal RNA
Rfam family: Bacterial small subunit ribosomal RNA
Source: RNAcentral
AACGAACGCUGGCGGCAUGCCUAACACAUGCAAGUCGAACGAGACCUUCGGGUCUAGUGGCGCACGGGUGCGUAACGCGGGGGAACCUGCCCGUAGGUUCGGAAUAACUCCCCGUAGGGGGUGCUAAUACCGGAUAAUGUCCUCGGACCAAAGAUUUAUCGCCUUUGGAUGGGCCCGCGUUGGAUUAGCUAGUUGGUAGGGUAAAAGCCUACCAAGGCGACGAUCCAUAGCUGGUCUGAGAGGAUGAUCAGCCACACUGGGACUGAGACACGGCCCAGACUCUUACGGGAGGCAGCAGUGGGGAAUAUUGGCAAAUGGGCGAGAGCCUGAUCCAGCAAUGCCGGGUGAGUGAUGAAGGCCUUAGGGUUGUAAAGCUCUUUUACCCGGGAUGAUAAUGACAGUACCGGGAGAAUAAGCUCCGGCUAACUCCGUG